CAGCUGCCAAUGAGAAGCCAGUCCUGGCCAAUACUUUGAUUUUAACCCAGUGAGACGUUAAGAAGAGAACCAAGCCAUACCAUUCCAGACAUCUGACCUAGAGAAACAGUGAGGCUUGUGUAAAACUGCUACAUGUGUGAUAAUUGGUUACACAUCAACACAAAAGUAACACAGUCAGUACAGAAAGGAUCAGAGUAAUAGCUACUAAAGAAGAGCAGGGUGGGGAAGAGUAUGCCAACACUUUCAGCGAUUUAGAGGUGUUUGGAAUGGACAAGGGAGCUUCCCUGGUGGCUUAGUCUGUAAAGAGUUCGCCUGCAGUGCAGGAGACUGGGGUUCCAUCUCUGGGUCUGGAAGAUCCCCUGGAGAAGGAAAUGGAAUGUGUGAGGAGAAGAGAGAAGAGACUGAAAGACGAGAUGAGGUGAGUCUGAUCGUGAAGAGCAUUGUAAGCCAGGAGACUAUUUUCCAAGAGCAAAGGGAAGCAGUGAACUGUUUAACAGAGCUUGCUGUUUAACUGUUUAACAGAGCUCCAUAAACAUGGAGCAUGAGGAACACGGCACAGCCUGGGACCAGGCAUUCAGGAUCCCCGGCUUCGUCAGUCAGGGAAGCCGGCGAGCAGGAAGAGUGGCUUGAGGGUGCCGAGCCCCAGACGCUGACCAACAUCUGCUUGCUUGUUCUUUCUCAUCUCAGUUACUCACAGCACCAGCUACGUGUAGGGCACCACUCCAGGGGGCAGGGACACCCACUGCUCCGAGCUCCCAGACCUCAGCAGGGCCUUUGUUAUUGCUCUUGUUUUUCCAGAAGUCAUGUGGAGUAAGAUAAAUAUAGUUUAUGGAUUCCCACAACUAGUUCUGCCACUUAUUAAGCCCACAAGCCAGGGCAAGUCACUUAACCUUUCUGAGUUUCCCUUUUCUGAUUUGUAAAUAACUAUUAUAGCUACUUCAGCAGGCUAUUGCAGGAAUCAAAGACAAAGUAGAUAAAAACUUUAAACCUCAUGAAAGCCCUGUUCAGAUGAUCCACUUUCCUCUCUUUGUCUGUCUACCAUCCAUGUGCUCUCGUUCUCAUAUUCUUUUUUUUUUUCUCUCUCUUUCCUUUCAUUGUUUUCUUUAUUAAAUUAGUUCAACAAAUAUUUCUUGGGAGCCUGUGCUAUUCAUUCAUCUAAAUGUCUGUCCAUGUCUGCUUCACACACACACAUUCGCAUCAUGGAGCUUACUCUAUGAACACUUAAGGAUACAGAACAAAGCUCCUAAUGUAUUUUUAAGUGGAAAAUAAAAGUGAUUACAAAAUAUGUUCGAUUGACAAGCAGGUGUUUUGGUGAAUAUGUGUGUGCUGCGUGAAAGGGAGCAAGAGAGAAAAAGUACAAAUAUAUUCAUAGAGCCAAACAUUAGAAAAUACACCUCAAAACGUUAGUAGAAUACCUCUAGAUGCUUUCAUUUGGCUUUGUUUUCCCAUUUCCCCGUAUUUCUCAAAUUUUCUGCAAGAAAUACAUUUUAUAAAUAGUAUAGCAGCCCAACAUGUUUUAAGAAAAAUACAAGAUGUCAAAUGCUAGGAAUAAGUUAUACAUAGGAUGUUAUGGGAAUGGAUGUUUCUGAAUUAAAUGUUGACUGGGUAGAAUCUCUAUGCUUAGCUUUGAAGGAUAAAAAGCUCUUUAGGAAAGACCUUAGUGAAUGGCAUUCGGGAGAAGGACCCGAGGUGUGCACACACUGGAGUGGUCAGCUCUUGUCACCUGAAGUGCAUCCUGAGUCACACUAGGAGAUGGGAAUUAGAAGCCAUGCUAUGAAUCUUAGCUUUUAUCCUCUAAGUACAGAGGCAUUUAAGCAGAGGAUUCAUAUAGUCAGACCUUCAUUUCUAUAGAUUACAGUGGGUGGCAGUGUGGAAUGCAUAGUAUAAAGAGGUUAGAAGCAGACAGGAAGCAUGGAAAUUUGUCAGGACGCUAGCGUCCAAGUAAAAGACAAUGAAGGUCUGGACCAGAACAAUGUAGUGAGAAUGGAGAGAAAUAUUUUAGGGAUAGUUGAGAAUUGUUUAAGGCUUAUUUCCCAUUCUGCCUGUGUUAUACUAUAUUGUUAAAUUAGCAACACUAUAACUUAUUUAAGAAAGUGUACUUAGGUGCCUAUAUAAUAUGCCUGCAUAAUUUUCCAACUGGAAGAAAAGUAUCAAAGGGCAUGGGAAGGCUAAGACCCAAAGACCUUGGACGAUUUCAUAAUUUGGCUUGGGUCUCACUUCUGCAAGCCCAAAGGAGACAGUCAGAGUUAGAAAAUGCUUCCCUCCUGCUGGAAACUAAGCUGUGGGGAGACUGGAAACAGCAGAGGGCCUGAAAGAGUCUGGAGGAGUUCCCACCAACGAACGCGGCAGACAAGACCAGAUGAGCAACUGUGGUGUCAUGGGCAGUCAGAGAGCAGGCUGUGCAGUGAUGUGACUUGGAAAGAGACAGGAGGGUUUUGUGUGUGUGUGUGUGUGUGAGAGAGAGAGAGAGAGAUGUUUGGCUUUUUCUGAGUCAUGUUUAGUUUUUAUAACAGCAGACUUUCCAACUGGCAUAAAGACAGUCAGGAGUUAAGAGAGAAAGCAAAGCACCUAAGUAUGUCAUGCCAGCAGGGUGCCAGCACGAGUUUGCUAGCGGUUAGGAGCAGCCUGGCUGUCCGUGCUAAGGAGGGACAUGAGCACAGGGAGGAAUAAAUUCCUGAGCUCUUCUUUGGCUCAUGUUUUUACUUUGUUGACUUAAAAAAUAAUCACAACCUAAAAAACUGAGAGUUAUGUUUUAUUUGGUAGGAAUUUUUAGGACUUCAAGGCCAACAGACAGCAUCUCAAGUAAUCCCGAGAGAAUUGCUCCGAGGAACGGCAGGUGGGAAGUAAGGGGUCAGGUUAUAUAAAAGAAGUGAAGUGAAGUGGUGUCUGACUCUUUGUGCCCCCAUGGACUGUAGCCUAACAGGAUUCUCCAUCCAUGCGAUUUUCCAGGCAAGAGUACUGGAGUGGGUUGCCAUUUCCUCCUCCAGGGUAUCUUCCUGACCCAGGGAUCGAACCCAAGUCUCCCGCAUUGUAGGCAAACGCUUUACCGUCUGAGCCAGAAGUUAGUAACAAAGGACUGGUAGCCUGAACAUCAAGAGACUGUUGUGAAUUAAAGAAACCUAGAUAUCUCAAGUUAAGGAGUUUAGCACUUUUUUAUGUGUGAGAAGAUGCAGGAGUCUGCUCCCUGAAAUCAUUGCUUUCAUCAUCUCAGCUGGGAAUAUCUAGCCAGGAGACCUGAAUCCACUUGCAAUAAGGAAGAUAAAGUUAAAAAAAAAAACAAAACAGAAAACGUGCUGUAGCAAGUUACAGCAUAAUUUGAAGAAGCUUAUCAACCUUAUCAAGUCAAAGCUAUGGUUUUUCCAGUAGUCAUGUACAGAUGUCAGAACUGGACCAUAAAGAAGGCUGAGUGCUAAAGAAGGCUGAUGCUUUUGAACUGUGUUGUUAGAAAAGACUCUUGAGAGUCCCUUGGACAGCAAGGAGAUCAAACCAGUGCAUCCUUAAGGAAAUCAACCCUGAAUAUUCAUUGGAAGGACUGAUGCUGAAGCUGAAGUUCCAGCACUUUGGCCACCUCAUGCGAAGAGCUGACUCAUUGGAAAAGACCCUGAUGCUGGGAAAGAUUGAGGGCAGGGGAGAAGAGGGUGACAGAGGAUGAGAUGGUUGGAUGGGACCAUCGACUCAAUGGAUAUGAGUUUGAGGAAACUCUAGGAGAUAGUGAAGGACAGGGAAGCCUGGCGUGCAGGAAUCCAUGGGGUCACCAAGAAUUGGACAUGACUGAGCAACUGAACAACAAAAAAAAUCAAAGGAACCCCACAUUGGGAGAACUUCUGGUUGCACACAACUCUGAGCCUCUCCUGAUAAAUAGCCCAGCAGGUGUCUCACCGCUUUGAGUUACGUGUGGUUUGCCCAUCUGCGCAGCGUGAGUGACCCAGACAGCAGAAGGACGGGCCUUGUUUCUCAGUGUACGGUCUUGGCAAUUUCUUGGCCCUUGUCCAAGUCACCAGACACACUCUCCAUCAUUACCAUUAACAGCAACGUGUUACAAUGCAGCCAUUACCACUCAUCUACGCCAGCGCCUGAGUUGAUGAGUUGAGAGGAGAGGAGGACAGAAAGGGGAAAUCUAAAGGCAAGGUGCGGUGGGGGCGGGAGACAGCUUCUCCUUUUCUGCCCUUUCUCCAAAAACUUCCCUAGUUUUAUUUCCCAUUUGCUCAGCCGUGUGUUCUCACACUCUCCUUUACCUUGAGAGCUGACUGUUGGACGCGCACAAGAGAAGAACAUGAAGGCCUCCAGAUAAAGUAGACACGGAAUCAACACAGGGUUCCAGUCACUCGUUUUCUUUGACGGGGCUUUACCAGGCUGGAUGGAAGAAGAAAAGACAGCCAGGAAAGCGGGAGUUAUAAAUCAGCUCUGUGCUCUUCCGAGGAUUUAUAUUCAACUGAAGACGUGUCCAAUGCAGGACCUUAUGGCUUUCUGUUUUCUUUUUGCUUACAUGGAGAAAUAACAGUUAAUAUAGUCAACUAUCCCAAGGCAGAAGAGUAUUAUUAAAAAAAGAAUACUUUGCAAUAUUAUUGAUUUCUCAAGUAACUGUGAGAUAUUUUAAGAUUUUGAUUUAAUAAAAUAUAGUAUGAUUUCUUUUAUGGGAUUUUUAUGUUUUCCCAAUCUUUAUCACCCUUGUGUGUUUCUUAGUUGAAAAUGAGAGUGUCUACUAAGUAUCAGCUGAACAAAUCCUGAUCUAAGUUACAAAAACCUUUAUGGCCACAUUGUCAUUUUCCUCCACUUACCUCUUUCUGUAAGUAGAUUUGUGGGGCAGGGGUCGUCCCUGGAGAAAGAGAACCAGGCAUGGCUUUCUUGACAUAAGGGAAGCUGUUUUGGGCCCAAGCCCUUGGUGGUCUCAGCCUGGCCAUAAUGCUUGGUCUUGAACAGGUCUCAGUGAUAAACGGUCUUAAGGGAACAAAAGAAUGCAUAAACAACGGACUGUUAACGGGCAA
Molecule: long non-coding RNA, 4985 nt
Organism: Bos taurus (domestic cattle)
Lineage: Eukaryota; Metazoa; Chordata; Mammalia; Artiodactyla; Bovidae
Source: Ensembl